Long non-coding RNA from Nothoprocta perdicaria, 603 nucleotides. RefSeq lists it as uncharacterized. The record is from RefSeq and is a predicted model, not a curated record. The transcript has 4 exons. Lineage: Eukaryota; Metazoa; Chordata; Aves; Tinamiformes; Tinamidae.
UUCUAAGAUCGAAACAUCAAACAGACAAAACACCAAACAGGAGCUGCAGGAGCCUAUAGGCACCCGUAUGGAUGAUACAGGAACCUGUUCUUGCAGGUCCACAUUUCUUCUUUUGCCAACAACUGAUGUGUUCAGUUUAACCCUGUGCUUUCCUCACCAUGGAAGAAGGACAGGAACAGAACAAAGUCCUCCAGAAAUUGCAGGCUGCAUGGUUGGUUCCAGUCAAGCAACACGCAGGGAAGCUCUUAGGAGACUGAAGGCUUGAAAACAUUUUCAGCUGCAGCGGUCAGGAUGCCAUGAACGGAUCAGCGCUUGGGCAAAUCUGGAUGCCCUGCCCAUGUCGAUGGUGGCAGUGUGACUGUCCCAUGGAACGUGACACGUGGUGUGGGACAGACCUGCUGGGGGCUACAACCAGACUAGCCCUCCCUCCAACAAAUCUGAACCAGAUUAAGGGAAAUGUCAAUGCCAAGAAGCUUCAUCAUGUGUCUUGACUGCCUGCCUUCCCUGUUGCCUCCCUAUUCAAGGCUGCAAGCUGCAUUCUUUGAAUGCAUUCGAGAUUGCUCAUACGGACAAGGAACGCUUUUCUCUGACGUUUGGAGUACU